UACGUAGGGGGCAAGCGUUGUCCGGAAUCACUGGGCGUAAAGGGCGCGUAGGCGGCUCACUAAGGCUGUGGUGAAAGUCCGGGGCUCAACCUCGGAUCGGCCGUGGCGACUCGUGGGCUGGAGCACUGUAGAGGCGGGUGGAAUUCCGGGUGUAGCGGUGGAAUGCGUAGAGAUCCGGAAGAACACCAGUGGCGAAGGCGGCCCGCUGGGCAGUGGCUGACGCUGAGGAGCGACAGCGUGGGGAGCAAACAGG
RNAcentral lists this ribosomal RNA (253 nucleotides) under uncultured bacterium. RNAcentral describes it as "partial 16S ribosomal RNA". It matches the Rfam family "Bacterial small subunit ribosomal RNA", at positions 524 to 776 of the family's 1533-position model. The record is from RNAcentral.